GACGAACGCUGGCGGCGUGCUUAACACAUGCAAGUCGAACGGAAAGGCCCUGCUUUUGUUGGGUUCUCGAUUGGCGAACGGGUGAGUAACACGUGAGUAACCUGCCCUUGACUUUGGGAUAACUUCAGGAAACUGGGGCUAAUACCGGAUAGGAGCUCCUGCUGCAUGGUGGGGGUUGGAAAGUUUCGGCGGUUGGGGAUGGACUCGCGGCUUAUCAGCUUGUUGGUGGGGUAGUGGCUUACCAAGGCUUUGACGGGUAGCCGGCCUGAGAGGGUGACCGGCCACAUUGGGACUGAGAUACGGCCCAGACUCCUACGGGAGGCAGCAGUGGGGAAUAUUGCACAAUGGGCGGAAGCCUGAUGCAGCAACGCCGCGUGCGGGAUGACGGCCUUCGGGUUGUAAACCGCUUUCGCAUGUGACGAAGCGUGAGUGACGGUAAUGGGUAAAGAAGCACCGGCUAACUACGUG
Molecule: ribosomal RNA, 468 nt
Filed under: uncultured bacterium
Lineage: Bacteria
Description: partial 16S ribosomal RNA
Rfam family: Bacterial small subunit ribosomal RNA
Source: RNAcentral